This 254-nucleotide ribosomal RNA is filed under the name uncultured prokaryote. RNAcentral describes it as "partial 16S ribosomal RNA". It matches the Rfam family "Bacterial small subunit ribosomal RNA", at positions 524 to 777 of the family's 1533-position model. The record is from RNAcentral.
UACGGAGGAUGCAAGCGUUAUCCGGAUUCAUUGGGUUUAAAGGGUGCGUAGGCGGGCUAUUAAGUCAGUGGUGAAAUCCUGCAGCUUAACUGCAGAACUGCCGUUGAUACUGAUAGUCUUGAGUUUGGUUAAGGUAGGCGGAAUGUGUAAUGUAGCGGUGAAAUGCUUAGAUAUUACACAGAACACCAAUUGCAUAGGCAGCUUACUGAGCCGACACUGACGCUGAGGCACGAAAGCGUGGGGAUCAAACAGGA